Molecule: ribosomal RNA, 498 nt
Filed under: Triticum aestivum (bread wheat)
Lineage: Eukaryota; Viridiplantae; Streptophyta; Magnoliopsida; Poales; Poaceae
Description: partial small subunit ribosomal RNA
Source: RNAcentral
CCAAAGUCCAAGCGUGGCAAUGAUGCUAUAUUCGUUGUCAUCGACAAACUCACCAAAGUGGCUCACUUUCUGCCUAUCAAAGAGUCGAUCACUGCAGCUCAAUUGGCGGAACUCUACACCUCGCGUAUUGUCUCUCUGCACGGUAUUCCUCAAGUGAUCUCUUCAGACCGUGGCAGCAUCUUUACCUCCAAGUUUUGGGAUUCUUUCCAGAAGGCCAUGGGCACGAACAUCCGUUUCAGCACAACUUUCCAUCCUCAAACAAGCGGUCAAGUUGAGCGUGUCAACCAGAUUCUUGAAGAUAUGCUCAGGGCUUGUGUGAUCUCCUUCGGCAUGAAGUGGGAGGAUUGUCUUCCUUAUGCUGAAUUCUCCUACAACAACAGUUUUCAAGCAAGUUCGGACAAGGCCCCAUUUGAAAUUCUGUAUGGCAGGAAGUGUCAUACCCCUCUCAACUGGUCUGAAACCGGUGAACGUCAGCUUUUGGGUAAUGACUUAAUCACA